UAGAGGCGUGGCAGGGGUGGCCCUUGAUUUUUACCGCAAAAGCCGGGCCCCCUGAAUGGGGCCUCCAACCCUUAAAAUCCAUCUCACCCUUUUGUGCACCACCGCGUGGGCACCCUUCGGGAUCAAACCGAUCCAGGAAGGGGGCUUGCGUUUUCACACAAACCCCUUUUUAAAAGUGUAGAAUGACCCCAUUUUUUGCGAUAACACGCAAUCAAUACAACUUUCAACAACGGAUCUCUUGGCUCUCGCAUCGAUGAAGAACGCAGCGAAAUGCGAUACGUAAUGUGAAUUGCAGAAUUCAGUGAAUCAUCGAAUCUUUGAACGCACCUUGCGCCCCUUGGUAUUCCGAGGGGCACACCCGUUUGAGUGUCGUGAAAAUCUCAACCUUCUCGGUUUCUUCUGGAAACCAAAGGAGGCUUGGACUUUGGAGGCCUUUGCUGGCGUCUCUCUCUUUUGAGAGCCCAGCUCCUCUUAAAUGAAUUAGCGGGGUCCUCUUUGCUGGUCCUCGACAUGUGAUAAGAUGCUUCCAUGUCUUGGUUUCUGGCUCUGUUGCUUUUGGGACCCGCUUCUAACCGUCUCGACGAGACAACGUUUGAGCACGUCUCCCGACGCUCUCAACCUCACGAACCCUUGACCUCAAAUCGGGUGAGACUACCCGCUGAACUUAAGCAUAUCAUA
This 678-nucleotide ribosomal RNA is filed under the name Lactarius scoticus. RNAcentral's name for it is "eukaryotic LSU rRNA". The stretch from base 219 to 372 matches the Rfam family "5.8S ribosomal RNA". The record is from RNAcentral. Lineage: Eukaryota; Fungi; Basidiomycota; Agaricomycetes; Russulales; Russulaceae.